RNAcentral lists this ribosomal RNA (453 nucleotides) under Spirostyliferina lizardensis. RNAcentral's name for it is "partial 16S large subunit ribosomal RNA". It matches the Rfam family "Archaeal large subunit ribosomal RNA", at positions 1919 to 2668 of the family's 2987-position model. The record is from RNAcentral. Lineage: Eukaryota; Metazoa; Mollusca; Gastropoda; Littorinimorpha; Spirostyliferinidae.
UGUUAUUUGAAGAAAUAACAUAAAUAAUAUAUUCUGCCCAAUGCUAAUUUAAGUUAAUGGCUGCAGUAUCCUGACUGUACAAAGGUAGCAUAAUAAUUUGUUAUUUAAUUGGUAACUGGAAUGAAAGGAAUGAUGCUAGACAUUUUUUCUUUUUUUUUAUAAUUAAAAAUUGAAACAAAAUUCAAAAUGAUUUUAUACACAAAAAAGACGAGAAGACCCUGUGGAAUAUAAAAAUUAUUUUAUCAACUGGGGCGGUUUAGGAAAAACAUCCUUAUUAUUUUAUCAAAAAAGAUCAACAAAUUUAGUUAAAGAUGAAGUAUUACCCCAGGGAUAACAGCAAGAUAAAAAUAGAGAGAUCUUAUCCCUAUUUUUGAUUUUGACCUCGAUGUUGGACUAGGGAAAAUUCUUAAUGCAGAAGUUAAGAGAUUUUGACUGUUCGUCAACUAAUUCCCU